UACGUAGGGUGCGAGCGUUAAUCGGAAUUACUGGGCGUAAAGGGCGCGUAGGCGGCCUUCUAAGUCGAACGUGAAAUCCCCGGGCUCAACCCGGGAACUGCGUCCGAUACUGGGAGGCUUGAAUCCGGGAGAGGGAUGUGGAAUUCCAGGUGUAGCGGUGAAAUGCGUAGAUAUCUGGAGGAACACCGGUGGCGAAGGCGGCAUCCUGGACCGGUAUUGACGCUGAGGCGCGAAAGCCAGGGGAGCAAACGGG
RNAcentral lists this ribosomal RNA (253 nucleotides) under uncultured bacterium. RNAcentral's name for it is "partial 16S ribosomal RNA". It matches the Rfam family "Bacterial small subunit ribosomal RNA", at positions 524 to 776 of the family's 1533-position model. The record is from RNAcentral.